This 253-nucleotide ribosomal RNA is filed under the name uncultured bacterium. RNAcentral's name for it is "partial 16S ribosomal RNA". It matches the Rfam family "Bacterial small subunit ribosomal RNA", at positions 524 to 776 of the family's 1533-position model. The record is from RNAcentral.
UACGUAGGGGGCGAGCGUUGUCCGGAUUUACUGGGCGUAAAGAGCGCGUAGGCGGCUUGUUAAGUUGGCUGUGAAAGUCCCUGGCCUAACUGGGGAAAGUCGGCCGAGACUGGCAGGCUAGAGAGCGGUAGAGGAAGGUGGAAUUCCGGGUGUAGUGGUGAAAUGCGUAGAUAUCCGGAGGAACACCGGUAGCGAAGGCGGCCUUCUGGGCCGUUUCUGACGCUGAGGCGCGAAAGCGUGGGGAGCGAACCGA